UACACCUUUAGGCGCCAGGCAAAAACGUUCCUCUUUAACCAGGCCUUUGGUUGAUUGUCAUUCAAUGGUAUUUAAAAAUGGAGGGUUGGGGGGUAUUUGGUUUCUCUUUUUAUUUUGAUUAUGUAUUCUGUGUUCUUAUAUUGUAAUUUUAUCUUGUGAACUGCCCUGAGACCUCCAGGUAUAGGGCGGUAUAUUAAUUUCAUCAUCACCACCGCCACCACCAUCAUCUAUGGUUCCCAGGCCUCUUGAGGGGAAGCUAAAUGGCUAGGAAUGUGGUGAUGUCUGCCUGAGAUCUUGGUCUUCAGAAUAGACAAUACCAAGAGAUAAGCCAAUGAUCUGAUUCAGUGGAAAGCAGCUCACACGGUCCAUAUUUGCACCUGAGAUUGCUUGCUGGUAAUGGAUCUCGAGGGGUAGGACUUUAAAACAAAUAAAUGAAGUAUAUACCACAUUCCUCUACUUAAUCUCUAUUAGCCAACUCAAAACUCUUUUAGCUUCAUGCAUAGGUAUAUCAAGGUGUUUUGCCUGAAAAGAAGCCCUCAAGUUCAUUUUUAGAUUUCACUGCAGAUAGACUGAGUGACAGUUUCAGGAUGUGUGAACCCAUUUGACAAGUUUCACUGUAAAGCGAUGGAAGGGUGAAUCUGUUAAUUGUGACUUUUCUCAGGUUCUAAUUUUUCUAAUCACAUAUUCUUAACUCUUAAAUUCAGUUUCUUCAUCAGCUUGCUUUUUAAAAAACAAAUAAGCAGUAUUAAAAUCCCUGUGCAUUUCUGCUAGUGUGCACAUUAUUAUGUGCAACUUUGCCUAACAUAUAUCUUUUUGUGAGCAGUUUCCACUGGUAUAUUACAAGUUUGCAUGUUAUUUUCACUAACAGACACAUUCUUGUUCAAACUUCUCCCCCCAAAAAAAUAUAUACCUAUGGUUUUGUAUGCAUUUUUGUUGUUGUUGAAUUGCUUCAUAUUGGUUUGGAGAAGUGUGAAUUUCAAAGUUCCAUUUCAUUUCAUAUAUUGGUUCAGGAAGUACAAAUUAGGUAGGUUUGCAUUACAAAUUUCUCCCCCAUGCAAAAUUGGAACUCAUUAGGUUUACCCUUGAAACUCCCCAGACUUCUUCUUCUUCUUUAACAACGAUUUCCACUUGAAAGUUUACUUUAGCUGACAUUUUGAUGACAACCUUAAACUAAUAUGCAACGUUCAGCCUGGCAUUAGUGAAGGCUGGUAAGCUGGGACGAGCCAUAACACAAUGAAGCCAAGAGCUUAAUUUCCUCCUUAUCUAAGCAAUACAGCAAGCCAGGCACAGAUUUUAGGGAAAGAAAUGGAGAGCCUCUUGCAGGUGCAUGGAAACACUAAGUGCUAGUAUGCCAUCUGCACCUGGCUAAUUACAGAGAUCACUGGGGAAAUCCAAAAGCAUUUUUUUCACCCUGAUCCCAGAAUGAGCAGGUUUCAACUUCUCAAGCACCAGAAAAGGAUUGUAGUUAAUGGUCCAUGUAAAGCAUCAAGGCUGGGAUCUUCCCAAAUCUGGUGUCUACUGGCAAUGCAACAGCCCAAACAUCUGCAUGCCAAAGACGUACAGAUGUUCAUUCACUGGGGCCUCAGAACAACAUUGUAAAUGAUCGCUGGAUGGGGGGGGGGCUCAAUGGAAAGAUAACGCUUUUGUAACAAUAAAAUGGUAGAGAGAUGUCUUACAAUUAGGGAAGGGAGAGCAAAGGUAAUAUGGAUUGGGGGAUUAGAAUCUGCACUAGUUAAGUUUGGGGAAAGCCACAAUAAAUAUUUUCCUUUCAUUUAAAUGGUGAGUUAUUUUACAAAAUAGGGAAGAAGCACAUACAUGGAGAGCAGGGGUAAAGAUCAGCAUUUGGGAAAGGAGGAGCAGAGAUCAACGUGGGGAAGCAGUGGGUGUGAAGAUCAACACUGGUAAAGUUGCAGCUUCUCCUUCUCCACCUUCUCUACUGGCCAUCCCUCUCCAGCCUCACUGAAAAGAAGGCAGAGUUGUUCCUUCACAGAGGCCUGAGGUAGAAAAGGAGGCCAAAGCCAAACCAGAACCAGAGGCCAAAGAGGGAGAGGGGCGACAACGGGCAGCAGCUGGAGGAAGCGUUAAGGGGAAGUGGCACCUAUGGGGAUCAGCUGCCUUGCAGUCACCUCGUGGCCUAGUGGUUGAGUAUGUCCUGCCUUUAGGUUGUGAGGUAGGUUUUAUCUCCUCACAGAAAAAAGAAAGGGAGGAGGGUUUCUCUGGGAAACGAAGCUCCUGAGAAUGUUUGGAGAUGGGUUCCUGAGCCAGCUUAUCAAAAAAUACACUCCCCCCCCCUUCAUAGUUUAGAUUCACCAGAGGCGGAUGUACUAUGAAACCAAGGAAGCUUAAGCUACAGGGCACCUAAUCCCAGAGGGGCACCAGGGGCAUUAGUCCACAUUGCCUAAUUUUUUUUUUGGGGGGGGGGGGUCCAGUAGACUCAAUUUGAGCCGCACAACUCGGAAACUAUAAGGCAUAGGACAUUUUUAUUCACAUCAGUGACUUCGACAUAUGAGAUAAUCCAGUACAACAAUUUUAAUCAAAAUCUGAGAUGCAGUCAUUAUUUUCUUUAAAGAAUUGUGGUGAUCUGUCGUGGAAUAACCCAACUGAAGAAGAUAACAGUGGUUACCUGGACCUGGUUGCUGGUUGUGAAGGGGCCCCCAUAACAGUUUAAGCUUCUGGGCCUCAAACAUGUAGGUCCACCACUGAGGGUCAUCCAGAUCUUGGGCUCCCCAGGUUCAUGAGCCCCAUCUGCCCCUCACUUCCCUCUGCAGCAUGUACAGAAACCACCUUCUUGAGCAUUGGACCCACUAUUGGUCUCAUCUGCUCAAUCCACCAGAGCCUGUCUUUCCAUGCAGAGGAAGUCCCCAGCUCACCAAGGAUUUGAGACUCAUUGGGACGGCUACCCUCACUAGUCGAAGCCAUUCCGAAGGGGUGGCUGCUGUCAUUGACAGCUUCUAGAAGCCACAGGUGAGAGUUGAGUGCAGGGUGGGGACCAAACGUGUACAAACUACUCCAGAAGGAGCACAGUAUGUCCCCCACCAGAAGUACUACCCCUGCCCUAAUUCCCCAUACACCCCAUUGCUGGAUCCAGGAACCCAGAAAUUACAAGAGCCACAGGCAUCAUGCAGACUGAUCAUCCCCAUCCAAACACAGAACAAUCCUUGGGGAAUGCCAAGUUGUGCCUAAAUAUCAUGGAAAUAGACAUUGCAAAGAAGAGUGAUGUAUUUGUGUGGUCUUGCUAUGAAUUUUAAAUGGGGAAUAAUUGACCUCUCCCCUCCAACAUCAGUGUUUUAAUCCUGGCUCAAGACUUCCUUAAGGGAGGGUUAAUCACUCAGUGAGAGAACACCUGCUUUCUACACAGGUUCAGUUCCUGGCCCCUCUGGAUCAGCUAUCAGGUGAUAGGAACGACGCCUUUCUCUUCUAGUAACCUUGAUGAGCAUGUGCCAGUCAGAGUAAUUUAUGCUGGACAAAUAGUCUUGAAUAAAGUGCCUUCCCAUACUUUCCACCCUUUAGGACAAGAGGCAUGAACUGAGUUGUGAUGAAUGUGGGGGCACCUAAACUUUUCCUCCACUAUCGUAAAACACAGCAGAUUCCUAUGUCUGUUUUCUAGUCCGUCUUCUCAGACCCAGACACACA
Molecule: non-coding RNA, 3633 nt
Organism: Podarcis lilfordi (Lilford's wall lizard)
Lineage: Eukaryota; Metazoa; Chordata; Lepidosauria; Squamata; Lacertidae
Source: the annotation of a GenBank genome assembly